This is a long non-coding RNA of Juglans microcarpa x Juglans regia, 153 nucleotides long. RefSeq lists it as uncharacterized. The record is from RefSeq and is a predicted model, not a curated record. Lineage: Eukaryota; Viridiplantae; Streptophyta; Magnoliopsida; Fagales; Juglandaceae. The transcript is spliced from 3 exons.
AUUUUCUAGAUUUUUGAUUUUUCUUCUCCUUUGUAGGCUAGUAGCAAAGUGGGCUCCACUUCCUCAUUUUCAACAUGAUUUGCCUUCUCUUCAGCAUUGCUAGGAGAACUUUAGCACUUCAAAGUAUAGUGGCCAUACUUUUGACAAUUGUAG